AUGUGGUUCAAGAGGUAACACGCUCGCCUGGCAUGCGUGGGCCCUGGGUUCGAUCCCCAGAACCACAUA
Molecule: transfer RNA, 69 nt
Filed under: Marmota monax (woodchuck)
Lineage: Eukaryota; Metazoa; Chordata; Mammalia; Rodentia; Sciuridae
Description: tRNA.Ala
Source: RNAcentral